AGCUGCUGACUCGUUGGCUC
Molecule: microRNA, 20 nt
Filed under: Glycine max (soybean)
Lineage: Eukaryota; Viridiplantae; Streptophyta; Magnoliopsida; Fabales; Fabaceae
Description: gma-miR4414a-5p
Source: miRBase by way of RNAcentral